Molecule: small nuclear RNA, 159 nt
Filed under: Takifugu rubripes (torafugu)
Lineage: Eukaryota; Metazoa; Chordata; Actinopteri; Tetraodontiformes; Tetraodontidae
Description: U1 spliceosomal RNA (ENSTRUG00000019455.3)
Rfam family: U1 spliceosomal RNA
About the family: U1 is a small nuclear RNA (snRNA) component of the spliceosome (involved in pre-mRNA splicing). Its 5' end forms complementary base pairs with the 5' splice junction, thus defining the 5' donor site of an intron.
Source: RNAcentral
UUACAUGUAUUGGGAAGGAAGCUGCCAUUAUCAACAAAGUGGUUCACUUCAGGAGAGCCUUAACCAUUGCACUCAUCAUUGUGCUGACGUCUGUGUAUUUAUGUACGUAGGAAUCCCAUCAUUUCUGGUUGUUGGGGAUUGCAUUCUUACUCUCUCCUG